GACAGAGGCCCCGAGCGUUAAUCGGAAUCACUGGGCUUAAAGGGUGCGUAGGCUGGCCUGCAAGUGCUUCGUGAAAGCCCACGGCUCAACCGUGGAACAGCGGGGCAUACUGCGGGUCUUGAGGCAGGUAGGGGUCGCGAGAACAGUAGGUGGAGCGGUGAAAUGCGUAGAUAUCUACUGGAAUGCCGAUGGUGAAGACGCGCGACUGGGCCUGUCCUGACGCUGAGGCACGAAAGCGUGGGGAGCAAACAGG
RNAcentral lists this ribosomal RNA (253 nucleotides) under uncultured bacterium. Its description in RNAcentral is "partial 16S ribosomal RNA". It matches the Rfam family "Bacterial small subunit ribosomal RNA", at positions 524 to 776 of the family's 1533-position model. The record is from RNAcentral.